GCUUUUUCUUGUUUGAGAUUAACUGGCAAAAUAAGAACAACUCAGCCUUGGAAGGGCCUGUGCUUAAACAGGCUUAUAAAAGCAAGGGAGCAGAAAGAAUGGCUUCUGAGCGCCAAACUAAGGCAACGACAUCUCUCUACAGAGACUGCCAAGGGAGAGGAGUAGAGGGCAAAGGAAAAAGAAGAAAGCCAAAGCCUGUACAACCAAAGCCCCUGAGCUGCCGCAAGCUGUUUUCUCUUGUUAAUGACCACCUCUCACCCCUUCACUCUUUCCACUAAGAUUUACAAGAUAAGUGAAGGGCAAAUUAGCAUGACAUGAGUUGCGUUCAUGCAGGAUGUCAGGUGGCAUUUGUGUAAGGAACUUGCACUUUUGUAAAUCUCUCAAAUAUUCACUAUGUAAGAUGAGUGUAAGAGACUUAGCACUGGUCCACUGUCUGGCCAUUAUGUUAUUUCCCACAGGGUGGAUACACUUAGGACUACUGGUACUGCUCUUGAAUGUUUUGUUGUGGAUUUAAAAAAACAAUUCCAAACUUCACUGCCUACCUUUCAGAAAUCACAAGUAUGGUACUGACUUAAUUAAAACAUGCAGAAAAAGUCUAAUGAAAACAACAUGUUCUUUAUCUGUAUCUUUAUCUAUAGCUACAAGAACAUUCCAUGACCAUGUGUUUGUUUUUAAUUCCCCACUGCAGUCAUCUGCCAUUCAUUAACACCAGCUGGAAAAACUUUAUUUUAUUUUUAUUUUUUUUUUUAUUUUUACUUUUUUUCUGUGGCCUUUCUGUGGCCUUUACCAAAAAAUAUAUAAUUUUAACAAUAAAAAAUAAAAAUUCUUAUCUAACUUACUGUUUGAUGUAUAGUGCCAAUUAAUUUUAUUUGUAAACUAACAGCAUAAGCAAUCACUUUUUUCUAAGCUUGUGCAAUCCUAUUAGAGGGUGAUAAUAUCCAGUAUUGUUUAUUUUAAUUAUAUUGUAUUGUAGGCAUGCCACUAUUUAACAGUAUGUGAGCAUGAAUUAUUAGUCAGAUUUACUCUAUAACAGCUCUUUUUCUUUUUCAGUCUGUUUCUUCACAAUAAAUCAGGGGAUCUGAUGUCAAUCAAGAAGUUAUUUGCGAAAGUAUUUUAAAUUCUCUUAUGUGUGUAUAUGUUUGCACCUGACACCAAGACAAAUUCCUAUUAAUGUGAAGUGCUCUUUGCUAAACCCUUUGCUGUACCUUGCAAUAAAACCUUAUCUGAUUCUGAUUCUGAACUGAUACCGCUGUAAGCCCCUGUUCCCUUUCCCCAAUCGCUCACUGAAUUUGCAGCCUCAAGUUCUGUUAUGGAAAUGCGUGAAUGCUGUGAGUUCAUUAAUGUAUGUCGGCUUUGUGGGUUUUUUUAACUGCAAUUUGCUGUACUAGGCAGUGUAGAUUUGGUCAUUCAUAAAGACAAAAACAAUUUUAUUUUUUACAAAAACGAUUUUUAAAUGGUCUAUUGUGUGUGUGUGUGUGUGUGUGUGUGUGUGUGUGUGUGUGUUACUGUUUUUAAUUGUGCAUCUCUGAUGAAGAACAUUUUUAUUUUGAAAUGGUGGAAAUACUCAUUUUCAUUCAUUCAAUUUUGAAAUUUUUAAAUGGAAAAAGAAUUCCACCCAAGCCUAAAUUUUACAGUAGAAAGUUUGAAUGCACAGUAUAUUAUUCACAUGCUCAUCAUUAUUCAAUAAAAUAAAAUAAAGUAUAA
Molecule: long non-coding RNA, 1704 nt
Organism: Silurus meridionalis
Lineage: Eukaryota; Metazoa; Chordata; Actinopteri; Siluriformes; Siluridae
Exons: 2
Source: RefSeq, a predicted model, not a curated record